RNAcentral lists this ribosomal RNA (488 nucleotides) under uncultured bacterium. RNAcentral's name for it is "bacterial SSU rRNA". It matches the Rfam family "Bacterial small subunit ribosomal RNA", at positions 21 to 507 of the family's 1533-position model. The record is from RNAcentral.
GGCUCAGAUUGAACCGCUGGCGGCAUGCCUUACACAUGCAAGUCGAACGGCAGCGCGGGGCAACCUGGCGGCGAGUGGCGAACGGGUGAGUAACAUAUCGGAACAUACCCUAGAGUGGGGAUAACGUAGCGAAAGUUACGCUAAUACCGCAUACGAUCUAAGGAUGAAAGCGGGGGAUCGCAAGACCUCGCGCGAUUGGAGCGGCCGAUAUCAGAUUAGGUAGUUGGUGGGGUAAAGGCUCACCAAGCCAACGAUCUGUAGCUGGUCUGAGAGGACGACCAGCCACACUGGAACUGAGACACGGUCCAGACUCCUACGGGAGGCAGCAGUGGGGAAUUUUGGACAAUGGACGCAAGUCUGAUCCAGCCAUUCCGCGUGCAGGAUGAAGGCCCUCGGGUUGUAAACUGCUUUGUACGGAACGAAAAGGUUUCUCUUAAUACGAGGAGCUCAUGACGGUACCGUAAGAAUAAGCACCGGCUAACUACGUG